Mytilus californianus (California mussel) is the source of this 738-nucleotide long non-coding RNA. RefSeq lists it as uncharacterized. The transcript is spliced from 3 exons. Lineage: Eukaryota; Metazoa; Mollusca; Bivalvia; Mytilida; Mytilidae. The record is from RefSeq and is a predicted model, not a curated record.
AGAAAUUUUUUUUUCUAGGUGUACAACUGUGCAAGUAUUGUACAUCGCAGCUUGAAAUGCAAUGUGACCUAAAAGACAACAUAAUAAUGGACAGAUGUUCUCUGGUCGUUCGUACUUGUUGGCCACACACAUGAAGAUAUUGAUCCUGCUUUCAGCUAAUAUCAGAAAAAUUAAGAACAAAGGAUGCUGAAACUGUGCAGUCACUGUUCAGGAUUAUUCAAGAUGUUUCAAAAGUGAAAUUAUAAUACAAUAUAUGUUACUGGUUAAUUACUAUGAUUAGUAAUUUUAAACAACACACAGAGACUUUGCAUUAUUGUUUUACAAGAGAGACACCAAAAGAUGCAGUCAACAUUUAUCAUUUUUAUCAAAUACACCCAGGACAAACCAUGGGUACACUUAGCUUGAAAUAUGGUGCUUUCUUACAAAAAUUGCCUGGACGUAAAAGAAAUGAAGAACCUAAAUUCAUGACAACAAUCAGGAGAUACCAGAAGAAUUAGUAUAAAUGGUUAAAGAUGAAAGAAUGCAGAAUAAGGCAGGAUUGAAAGGAAGAAAGAACUAGUCAUCAGUAAAGAAACAGAUCAAUUUAUAUAACAUGUAAUAAAUCCAUCUGAAUAUAUAUAUAUAACAAACAUUGCACAUGUUAUGAAGAUUUAUUCACAUGUCUACUCUGAUUUGUAGUUAUGUAUUUGUAAUAUUAUAUAGUACAUGUAUUUUAUUUUAGAACAGUAUUUUUUUUUG